Podarcis lilfordi (Lilford's wall lizard) is the source of this 85-nucleotide non-coding RNA. The record is from the annotation of a GenBank genome assembly. NCBI's taxonomy places the organism in Eukaryota, Metazoa, Chordata, Lepidosauria, Squamata, Lacertidae.
GCUCGGGCUUCCCCCUCCUCCAGCCCCGCAAGCUCCCAGAGCUCUGGGUCCCGUUUUGGGGGCUGGGGGAGGGGGAAGCUCGGGC